GUGGGGAAUUUUGGACAAUGGGCGCAAGCCUGAUCCAGCAAUGCCGCGUGCAGGAAGAAGGCCUUCGGGUUGUAAACUGCUUUUGUACGGAACGAAACGGCUCUGGUUAAUACCCGGGGCUAAUGACGGUACCGUAAGAAUAAGCACCGGCUAACUACGUGCCAGCAGCCGCGGUAAUACGUAGGGUGCAAGCGUUAAUCGGAAUUACUGGGCGUAAAGCGUGCGCAGGCGGUUUUGUAAGACAGGCGUGAAAUCCACGGGCUCAACCUGGGAAUUGCGCUUGGGACUGCAAGGCUGGAGUGCGGCAGAGGGGGAUGGAAUUCCGCGUGUAGCAGUGAAAUGCGUAGAUAUGCGGAGGAACACCGAUGGCGAAGGCAAUCCCCUGGGCCUGCACUGACGCUCAUGCACGAAAGCGUGGGGAGCAAACAGGAUUAGAAACCCGGGUAGUCC
This 450-nucleotide ribosomal RNA is filed under the name uncultured bacterium. RNAcentral's name for it is "partial 16S ribosomal RNA". It matches the Rfam family "Bacterial small subunit ribosomal RNA", at positions 354 to 796 of the family's 1533-position model. The record is from RNAcentral.